GACGAACGCUGGCGGCGUGCUUAACACAUGCAAGUCGAACGAAGAGCGAUGGAAGCUUGCUUCUAUCAAUCUUAGUGGCGAACGGGUGAGUAACGCGUAAUCAACCUGCCCUUCAGAGGGGGACAACAGUUGGAAACGACUGCUAAUACCGCAUACGAUCUAAUCUCGGCAUCGAGGAUAGAUGAAAGGUGGCCUCUACAUGUAAGCUAUCACUGAAGGAGGGGAUUGCGUCUGAUUAGCUAGUUGGAGGGGUAACGGCCCACCAAGGCGAUGAUCAGUAGCCGGUCUGAGAGGAUGAACGGCCACAUUGGGACUGAGACACGGCCCAGACUCCUACGGGAGGCAGCAGUGGGGAAUCUUCCGCAAUGGACGAAAGUCUGACGGAGCAACGCCGCGUGAGUGAUGACGGCCUUCGGGUUGUAAAGCUCUGUUAAUCGGGACGAAAGGCCUUCUUGCGAAUAGUGAGAAGGAUUGACGGUACCGGAAUAGAAAGCCACGGCU
RNAcentral lists this ribosomal RNA (501 nucleotides) under Veillonella parvula. RNAcentral's name for it is "bacterial SSU rRNA". It matches the Rfam family "Bacterial small subunit ribosomal RNA", at positions 28 to 498 of the family's 1533-position model. Lineage: Bacteria; Bacillati; Bacillota; Negativicutes; Veillonellales; Veillonellaceae. The record is from RNAcentral.